UACAGAGGUCUCAAGCGUUGUUCGGAUUCAUUGGGCGUAAAGGGUGCGUAGGUGGCGCCGUAAGUCAGGUGUGAAAUCCCGGGGCUCAACCCCGGAACUGCACUUGAUACUGCGGUGCUCGAGUACUGGAGAGGAGAUUGGAAUUUACGGUGUAGCAGUGAAAUGCGUAGAGAUCGUAAGGAAGACCAGUGGCGAAGGCGGGUCUCUGGACAGUUCCUGACACUGAGGCACGAAGGCCAGGGGAGCAAACGGG
This 253-nucleotide ribosomal RNA is filed under the name uncultured bacterium. Its description in RNAcentral is "partial 16S ribosomal RNA". It matches the Rfam family "Bacterial small subunit ribosomal RNA", at positions 524 to 776 of the family's 1533-position model. The record is from RNAcentral.